CGCGUAGGUGGUUUGGUAAGCGAGAUGUGAAAGCCCCGGGCUUAACCUGGGAACGGCAUUUCGAACUGUCAGACUAGAGUGUGGUAGAGGGUAGUGGAAUUUCCUGUGUAGCGGUGAAAUGCGUAGAUAUAGGAGGGAACACCAGUGGCGAAGGCGGCUACCUGGACCAACACUGACACUGAGGUGCGAAAGCGUGGGGAGCAAACA
This 207-nucleotide ribosomal RNA is filed under the name uncultured bacterium. RNAcentral's name for it is "partial 16S ribosomal RNA". It matches the Rfam family "Bacterial small subunit ribosomal RNA", at positions 568 to 774 of the family's 1533-position model. The record is from RNAcentral.